GUGCAGGGGGCUUAGGGUUCCGUUGCCUUGAGAGAGGCAAGUCUGGUCCAAGAAGCGCCACCUGACCGGCAAAUUCCGGCAGGCACACGGCGGGGCAAAAUCCCGGGAGGU
This 111-nucleotide small RNA is filed under the name Shimia marina. RNAcentral's name for it is "Guanidine-I sequence". It matches the Rfam family "Guanidine-I riboswitch aptamer". Rfam says of the family: This family represents a conserved RNA structure found upstream of the ykkC and yxkD genes in Bacillus subtilis and related genes in other bacteria. The function of this family is unclear although it has been suggested that it may function to switch on efflux pumps and detoxification systems in response to harmful environmental molecules. The record is from Rfam by way of RNAcentral. Lineage: Bacteria; Pseudomonadati; Pseudomonadota; Alphaproteobacteria; Rhodobacterales; Roseobacteraceae.